UCCCCGGUAGCUCAGUUGGUAGAGCAGCCGGCUGUUAACCGGCUGUCUCUUAUACAGAGUCCUGCCCGGGGAGCCA
Molecule: transfer RNA, 76 nt
Filed under: Nitrospira sp.
Lineage: Bacteria; Pseudomonadati; Nitrospirota; Nitrospiria; Nitrospirales; Nitrospiraceae
Description: tRNA-Asn
Rfam family: tRNA
About the family: Transfer RNA (tRNA) molecules are approximately 80 nucleotides in length.
Source: RNAcentral